This 491-nucleotide ribosomal RNA is filed under the name uncultured bacterium. Its description in RNAcentral is "partial 16S ribosomal RNA". It matches the Rfam family "Bacterial small subunit ribosomal RNA", at positions 29 to 507 of the family's 1533-position model. The record is from RNAcentral.
GUGAACGCUGGCGGUAGGCCUAACACAUGCAAGUCGAACGGCAGCACAGUAAGAGCUUGCUCUUACGGGUGGCGAGUGGCGGACGGGUGAGGAAUGCAUCGGAAUCUACUUUUUCGUGGGGGAUAACGUAGGGAAACUUACGCUAAUACCGCAUACGACCUACGGGUGAAAGCAGGGGAUCUUCGGACCUUGCGCGAUUGAAUGAGCCGAUGUCGGAUUAGCUAGUUGGCGGGGUAAAGGCCCACCAAGGCGACGAUCCGUAGCUGGUCUGAGAGGAUGAUCAGCCACACUGGAACUGAGACACGGUCCAGACUCCUACGGGAGGCAGCAGUGGGGAAUAUUGGACAAUGGGCGCAAGCCUGAUCCAGCCAUACCGCGUGGGUGAAGAAGGCCUUCGGGUUGUAAAGCCCUUUUGUUGGGAAAGAAAAGCGGCAGGUUAAUACCCCGCUGUUCUGACGGUACCCAAAGAAUAAGCACCGGCUAACUUCGUG